ACUGCAACCUCCAUCUCCAGGGUUCAAACAAUUCUCCUGCUUCAGCCUCUCGAUGAAACCAACUUCAUAAAGGCUGUGGCAUUUCUUCCAAGACACUACGAUGAAGAUGACAUGAUCAGGAGACUUAGGGAAAGCUACGACUUUUCAAACACCCUAACGGCAAGUCUUAAAAUCGCAGUUCUGACAGAGAGAUUGAGAAGUUCAAGUCAAUUCCUCAUUUACCUGCUCGGUCUGCAAAGGAGUUCGAA
Molecule: long non-coding RNA, 248 nt
Organism: Gorilla gorilla gorilla (western lowland gorilla)
Lineage: Eukaryota; Metazoa; Chordata; Mammalia; Primates; Hominidae
Exons: 3
Source: RefSeq, a predicted model, not a curated record